Molecule: ribosomal RNA, 253 nt
Filed under: uncultured bacterium
Lineage: Bacteria
Description: partial 16S ribosomal RNA
Rfam family: Bacterial small subunit ribosomal RNA
Source: RNAcentral
UACGUAGGUGACAAGCGUUAUCCGGAUUUAUUGGGCGUAAAGCGCCCGUAGGCGGUCUAUCAAGUCUGAUGUGAAAUCUCUCGGCUUAACCGGGAGCGGUCGUUGGAAACUGAUGGACUUGAGGCGAUGAGAGGGGUGUGGAAUUCCCGGUGUAGUGGUGGAAUGCGUAGAUAUCGGGAGGAACAUCAGUGGCGAAAGCGGCCCCCUGGCAUUAGCCUGACGCUCAUGUGCGAAAGCGUGGGGAGCGAACGGG